RNAcentral lists this ribosomal RNA (261 nucleotides) under uncultured archaeon. Its description in RNAcentral is "partial 16S ribosomal RNA". It matches the Rfam family "Archaeal small subunit ribosomal RNA", at positions 748 to 1008 of the family's 1478-position model. The record is from RNAcentral.
UAGCCGUAAACGAUACUCGCUAGGUGUCGGCCACGGUGCGACCGUUGUCGGUGCCGUAGGGAAGCCGUGAAGCGAGCCACCUGGGAAGUACGGCCGCAAGGCUGAAACUUAAAGGAAUUGGCGGGGGAGCACAACAACGGGUGGAGCUUGCGGUUUAAUUGGAUUCAACGCCGGAAAUCUUACCGGGACCGACAGCAACAUGAAGGCCAAGCUGAAGACUUUGCCGGAUUAGCUGAGAGGUGGUGCAUGGCGUCAGUGACU